Molecule: ribosomal RNA, 726 nt
Filed under: Triticum aestivum (bread wheat)
Lineage: Eukaryota; Viridiplantae; Streptophyta; Magnoliopsida; Poales; Poaceae
Description: partial small subunit ribosomal RNA
Source: RNAcentral
AUGGACGCCCCGGACGUGACGCCGGCGUGGUCUCUGGUCCGCGGCUACUUCUCCCCGGCGACGCUCUUCCUCCUCCUCAACGUCGUCAUCGGCACCAUCGCGCUCACCUCCCGCUCCCACCGCCGCCGCCACGACCACCACGCCGACGACGACCGCCACCGCCACCAGCACCAGCACAAGGACCACGACGACCGGUACGCUCCUCCCCCGCCUCCGGCCCCGCUGGCGCGCACGUCGUCCGUGAUGGAGCGCCUGCGCUCCCUCGGCCUCUACCGCUUCCGCUCCGGCGACUUCCCUCCCGAGUACAACUACAACUCUUCCUCCGCCGGCAACGUCGGCGAGGACGACGACGAGGGCGGCAAGCAGCAGCAGUACAGCAGGAGCCGGUCUGAGCCGGCCGCGAGGAAGCCGGCGAGCAAGACGGGCAACGAGGCGGAGAAGGCGGCCAGGGCGAAGGUGGCGAAGAAGCCGGUAACGGAGACGGAGGUGAGGAGGCUGGAGCGCGCCCCGGUGCCGGCGCCGGCGCGGCUGGUGCAGCGCGCGCCGAGGGCCCCUGCGGCUCGCGCGGUGCUGACGGAGGCGAGGCGGCAGGACGCAGGGGCGCCGGAGGCCGCGUGCGUGGACGAGAGGGCGGACGACUUCAUCAACAAGUUCCGGCAGCAGCUGCAGCUGCAGAGGCUCAACUCGCUGCUCAACUACAAGGAGAUGCUCAACCGCGGCGCGUAG